RNAcentral lists this non-coding RNA (220 nucleotides) under Anaerosporobacter mobilis. RNAcentral describes it as "T-box sequence". It matches the Rfam family "T-box leader". Rfam says of the family: Uncharged tRNA acts as the effector for transcription antitermination of genes in the T-box leader family. The record is from RNAcentral. Lineage: Bacteria; Bacillati; Bacillota; Clostridia; Lachnospirales; Lachnospiraceae.
UUAAAUUCCGUGAAAAGAAGAGUAUUUGUUUUAUGUACUUUCAGCGAGUAGGAGACUGGUGUAAGUCCUAUAAGUGCAAAGCAAAGAAGAGGGCCUUGGAGAAGCAGAUUCGAGUAGUAAGAAUAUAAGAGUCUGACGUUAGCUGCGUUAAAGUGUUAAGUGGAUUGCGUUGUUAUGGCAGUCAAUUGGAGUGGUACCACGGAAUAUUUUCGUCUCUUAU